UCGGGUGUGGUGUACGGUACACAGCGAACUUUCCUUAUGUAGGAUGCCCUGCUGAAGAGAAUACAAGUCGCUGAACGGGGUUCGACUCCCCGCGCCCGAA
Non-coding RNA from Mycena metata, 100 nucleotides. NCBI's taxonomy places the organism in Eukaryota, Fungi, Basidiomycota, Agaricomycetes, Agaricales, Mycenaceae. The record is from the annotation of a GenBank genome assembly.